GACCCAAUAAUAUUAAAGUUUCAAACUACAUCAAGUAUGAAGAUGUGAAUUUUUGGUUCCAAAUUUGAUGAAAAUCAACAAAAACCACUGUUAUAAAACUUUCACUUUACCAACAACAAACUAAGAAGUAAAUUUCUGUUUUUCUAGAUUAGGGAAUUGCAAGUAAACAAACAGAUAACCGUAACCUAGCUCAAAUCAAUCAUUUCUACGUUUCUCAAGAAGAUCGCUGCCUCGAAAAUUUUAGUUGCUUCUAAUCUUGCUUUU
RNAcentral lists this unclassified non-coding RNA (264 nucleotides) under Hevea brasiliensis (rubber tree). The record is from RNAcentral. Lineage: Eukaryota; Viridiplantae; Streptophyta; Magnoliopsida; Malpighiales; Euphorbiaceae.